This 1391-nucleotide ribosomal RNA is filed under the name uncultured bacterium. RNAcentral's name for it is "bacterial SSU rRNA". It matches the Rfam family "Bacterial small subunit ribosomal RNA". The record is from RNAcentral.
AGAGUUUGAUCUUGGCUCAGGAUGAACGCUGGCGGCGUGCCUAAUACAUGCAAGUCGAACGAAUCUCUUUUAAAGAUGAGUGGCUAACGGGUGAGUAAUACAUAGGUAACCUGCCCCUGUGCGGGGGAUAACAGGAGGAAACUCCUGCUAAUACCGCAUAGCCAUGAGCACCGCAUGGAGCUCAUGCCAAAUAUCCUUUCGGGGAUAGCGCAGGGAUGGACCUAUGGCGUAUUAGCUAGUUGGCGGGGCAACGGCCCACCAAGGCAACGAUGCGUAGCCGGCCUGAGAGGGCGGACGGCCACAUUGGGACUGAGACACGGCCCAGAUCUCCUACGGGAGGCAGCAGUAGGGAAUUUUCGGCAAUGGGGGAAACCCUGACCGAGCAACGCCGCGUGAGCGAAGAAGGCCUUCGGGUCGUAAAGCUCUGUUGUAAAGGAAGAACGUCGUACACAGGAAAUGGUGUGCGAGUGACGGUACUUUACCAGAAAGCCACGGCUAACUACGUGCCAGCAGCCGCGGUAAUACGUAGGUGGCGAGCGUUAUCCGGAAUCAUUGGGCGUAAAGAGGGAGCAGGCGGCCGCAAGGGUCUGUGGUGAAAGACCGAAGCUAAACUUCGGUAAGCCAUGGAAACCGGGCGGCUAGAGUGCGGAAGAGGAUCGUGGAAUUCCAUGUGUAGCGGUGAAAUGCGUAGAUAUAUGGAGGAACACCAGUGGCGAAGGCGACGGUCUGGUCCGCAACUGACGCUCAUUCCCGAAAGCGUGGGGAGCAAAUAGGAUUAGAUACCCUAGUAGUCCACCCCGUAAACGAUGAUUACUAGGUGUUGGGGGAUUGACCCCCUCAGUGCUGCAGUUAACACAAUAAGUAAUCCACCUGGGGAGUACGACCGCAAGGUUGAAACUCAAAGGAAUUGACGGGGGCCCGCACAAGCAGUGGAGUAUGUGGUUUAAUUCGAAGCAACGCGAAGAACCUUACCAGGUCUUGGCAUCCGAUGCAUAACACAGAGAUGUGAGAAGUCCUUCGGGACAUCGAGACAGGUGGUGCAUGGUUGUCGUCAGCUCGUGUCGUGAGAUGUUGGGUUAAGUCCCGCAACGAGCGCAACCCUUAUUGCCAGUUACUACGUUUAGAGGACUCUGGCGAGACUGCCGUUGACAAAACGGAGGAAGGUGGGGAUGACGUCAAAUCAUCAUGCCCUUUAUGACCUGGGCUACACACGUACUACAAUGGCGUUAAACAAAGAGAAGCAAGACCGCGAGGUGGAGCAAAACUCAAAAACAACGUCUCAGUUCAGAUUGCAGGCUGCAACUCGCCUGCAUGAAGUCGGAAUUGCUAGUAAUCGCGGAUCAGCAUGCCGCGGUGAAUAAGUUCCCGGCCCUUGCACUCACCGCCCGUCA